This is a long non-coding RNA of Drosophila albomicans, 304 nucleotides long. RefSeq lists it as uncharacterized. The transcript has 2 exons. The record is from RefSeq and is a predicted model, not a curated record. NCBI's taxonomy places the organism in Eukaryota, Metazoa, Arthropoda, Insecta, Diptera, Drosophilidae.
GAGCUCUAGGUGUUCGAUCAGAUGAAGAGACGCAGAUACGCAAAAUAUUCCAGAUGGUCAGCCAAAGCUACUAGGAACGUUUUGGCAUACAAAAUUUCUGACAAACUGUCUGACGGACAUGGCUAUAUCGACUCGGCUGUUGAUGCUGUUCAAGAAUGGUGUCGAAACUGAUUUCUGAUUGUAUGUAACAGCCACAAAGUUAUACAAUUACACCCUAUGGGUAGCGGAAAUUCAUAUAUAUUAUUAUAUAAAUGUGAGAAUUUUUUAUUAGUCAAUGCCAUUAAAUUUCAAUAGGAAUUAGAAA